GUGGGGAAUAUUGCGCAAUGGGGGAAACCCUGACGCAGCAAUACCGCGUGAGUGAAGAAGGUUUUCGGAUCGUAAAACUCUUUUAUUGGGGAAGAAGAAGUGACGGUACCCAAUGAAGAAGUCCCGGCUAACUACGUGCCAGCAGCCGCGGUAAUACGUAGGGGACAAGCGUUGUCCGGAAUCACUGGGCGUAAAGGGCGCGUAGGCGGUUUUAUAAGUCAGAUGUGAAAGGUACCGUCUCAAACGGUGACGUGCAUUUGAAACUGUAAGACUUGAGUACUGGAGAGGCAAGUGGAAUUCCUAGUGUAGCGGUGAAAUGCGUAGAUAUUAGGAGGAACACCGGUGGCGAAGGCGGCUUGCUGGACAGAUACUGACGCUGAGGUGCGAAAGCGUGGGGAGCGAACAGGAUUAGAAACCCUUGUAGUCC
This 427-nucleotide ribosomal RNA is filed under the name uncultured bacterium. RNAcentral describes it as "partial 16S ribosomal RNA". It matches the Rfam family "Bacterial small subunit ribosomal RNA", at positions 354 to 796 of the family's 1533-position model. The record is from RNAcentral.